ACAAACCAGUGUGCCUGGCACCUACUACCGUACCCCGUUCAAAGGCACUUAAAUAUUAUGCUGUGGAGCUAAGAGGGACUGGUUGUUGUGGCGCUAAGAGGGACUGGUUGUUGUGGAGCUAAGAGGGACUGGUUGUUGUGGAGCUAAGAGGGACUGGUUGCUGUGGAGCUAAGAGGGACUGGUUGCUGUGGAGCUAAGAGGGACUGGUUGUUGUGGAGCUAAGAGGGACUGGUUGCUGUGGAGCUAAGAGGGACUGGUUGUUGUGGAGCUAAGAGGGACUGGUUGUUGUGGAGCUAAGAGGGACUGGUUGUUGUGGCGCUAAGAGGGACUGGUUGUUGUGGAGCUAAGAGGGACUGGUUGUUGUGGAGCUAAGAGGGACUGGUUGUUGUGGAGCUAAGAGGGACUGGUUGUUGUGGAGCUAAGAGGGACUGGUUGUUGUGGCGCUAAGAGGGACUGGUUGUUGUGGAGCUAAGAGGGACUGGUUGUUGUGGCGCUAAGAGGGACUGGUUGUUGUGGAGCUAAGAGGGACUGGUUGUUGUGGCGCUAAGAGGGACUGGUUGUUGUGGAGCUAAGAGGGACUGGUUGUUGUGGAGCUAAGAGGGACUGGUUGUUGUGGAGCUAAGAGGGACUGGUUGUUGUGGCGCUAAGAGGGACUGGUUGUUGUGGAGCUAAGAGGGACUGGUUGUUGUGGAGCUAAGAGGGACUGGUUGUUGUGGAGCUAAGAGGGACUGGUUGUUGUGGAGCUAAGAGGGACUGGUUGUUGUGGAGCUAUGCGGGACUGGUUGUUGUGGCGCUAAGAGGGACUGGUUGUUGUGGCGCUAAGAGGGACUGGUUGUUGUGGCGCUAAGAGGGACUGGUUGUUGUGGCGCUAAGAGGGACUGGUUGUUGUGGCGCUAAGAGGGACUGGUUGUUGUGGAGCUAAGAGGGACUGGUUGUUGUGGCGCUAAGAGGGACUGGUUGUUGUGGAGCUAAGAGGGACUGGUUGUUUUGGUGCUAAGAGCCCCACCCCAAACACACACACACACAUGCAUCUGUGAGGUCAGGGUCCUUCUUGCCUUGUAGUCCGCUGUAGGUAGCUACUCUUUAAACUGAAUCAAUUCAACAGUCACUCCAUUAUUCUUCCACUGACAUAUUGUCUCCCCUACUGUACCAGAUAAACCACUGUCUUCAUCAGUGUUGCUGCUGUUUCAUAUUAACUCAUUUCGUUCAUUUUUGUUUUGCAAGAACACUUUUUUCAUCAUGUUUCAUUCUACUGUUUGUAAUUAUUGUGAUUUAAUAAAAAAAAAUCAGAUUUUGAUUAAA
Coregonus clupeaformis (lake whitefish) is the source of this 1302-nucleotide long non-coding RNA. RefSeq lists it as uncharacterized. The transcript has 2 exons. The record is from RefSeq and is a predicted model, not a curated record. NCBI's taxonomy places the organism in Eukaryota, Metazoa, Chordata, Actinopteri, Salmoniformes, Salmonidae.